This 430-nucleotide ribosomal RNA is filed under the name uncultured bacterium. RNAcentral's name for it is "bacterial SSU rRNA". It matches the Rfam family "Bacterial small subunit ribosomal RNA", at positions 957 to 1391 of the family's 1533-position model. The record is from RNAcentral.
GAACGCGAAGAACCUUACCAAGGCUUAAAUGGGAAUUGAUCGGUUUAGAAAUAGACCUUCCUUCGGGCAAUUUUCAAGGUGCUGCAUGGUUGUCGUCAGCUCGUGCCGUGAGGUGUUAGGUUAAGUCCUGCAACGAGCGCAACCCCUGUCACUAGUUGCCAUCAUUCAGUUGGGGACUCUAGUGAGACUGCCUACGCAAGUAGAGAGGAAGGUGGGGAUGACGUCAAAUCAUCACGGCCCUUACGCCUUGGGCCACACACGUAAUACAAUGGCCGGUACAGAGGGCAGCUACACAGCGAUGUGAUGCAAAUCUCGAAAGCCGGUCUCAGUUCGGAUUGGAGUCUGCAACUCGACUCUAUGAAGCUGGAAUCGCUAGUAAUCGCGCAUCAGCCAUGGCGCGGUGAAUACGUUCCCGGGUCUUGUACACACC